CUGGCCUCAAAUCAGGUAGGGCUACCCGCUGAACUUAAGCAUAUCAAUAAGCGGAGGAAAAGAAACUAACUAGGAUUCCCUUAGUAACGGCGAGUGAACCGGGAUGAGCUCAAAUUUGAAAUCUGGCGUCUUUCAGGCGUCCGAGUUGUAAUCUAUAGAGGCGUUUUCCGCGCCGGACCGCGUCCAAGUCUCUUGGAAUAGAGUAUCAAAGAGGGUGACAAUCCCGUACUUGACGCGACAACCGGUGCUCUGUGAUACGUUCUCAAUGAGUCGAGUUGUUUGGGAAUGCAGCUCUAAAUGGGUGGUAAAUUCCAUCUAAGGCUAAAUAUUGGCGAGAGACCGAUAGCGAACAAGUACCGUGAGGGAAAGAUGAAAAGCACUUUGGAAAGAGAGUUAAACAGCACGUGAAAUUGUUAAAAGGGAAACGAUUGAAGUCAGUCGUGUGGGAAGUAUUCAGCCGUCUCUGGCGGUGUAUUUGCUUCUCACGGGUCAACAUCAGUUUGAUCCGGUAGAAAAAGGCGGGAAGAAGGUGGCACCCUCGGGUGUGUUAUAGCUUCCUGUCAUAUGUGCCGGACCAGACUGAGGAACGCAGCUUGCAGCAAUGCCGGGGUUCGCCCACGUACAAGCUAGGAUGUGACA
This 639-nucleotide ribosomal RNA is filed under the name Vishniacozyma carnescens. RNAcentral's name for it is "eukaryotic LSU rRNA". It matches the Rfam family "Eukaryotic large subunit ribosomal RNA", at positions 1 to 630 of the family's 3401-position model. Lineage: Eukaryota; Fungi; Basidiomycota; Tremellomycetes; Tremellales; Bulleribasidiaceae. The record is from RNAcentral.